Molecule: ribosomal RNA, 744 nt
Filed under: uncultured bacterium
Lineage: Bacteria
Description: bacterial SSU rRNA
Rfam family: Bacterial small subunit ribosomal RNA
Source: RNAcentral
GAUGAACGCUAGCGACCCGUUUAAGGCAUGCAAGUCGAGGGGCAGCAUGAACUUAGCUUCGCUAGUUUGAUGGCGACCGGCGCACGGGUGAGUAACGCGUAUGCAACUUACCUAUCAGAGGAGAAUAGCUCAUCGAAAGAUGAAUUAAUGCUCCAUAAAACAGGGGUCCCGCAUGGGAAUAUUUGUUAAAGAUUCAUCGCUGAUAGAUAGGCAUGCGUUCCAUUAGGCAGUUGGCGGGGUAACGGCCCACCAAACCGACGAUGGAUAGGGGUUCUGAGAGGAAGGUCCCCCACAUUGGUACUGAGACACGGACCAAACUCCUACGGGAGGCAGCAGUGAGGAAUAUUGGUCAAUGGCCGAGAGGCUGAACCAGCCAAGUCGCGUGAAGGAUGAAGGAUCUAUGGUUUGUAAACUUCUUUUAUACGGGAAUAAAGUGAGUCACGUGUGAUUUUUUGUAUGUACCGUAUGAAUAAGCAUCGGCUAACUCCGUGCCAGCAGCCGCGGUAAUACGGAGGAUGCGAGCGUUAUCCGGAUUUAUUGGGUUUAAAGGGUGCGUAGGUGGUCUUUUAAGUCAGCGGUGAAAGUUUGUGGCUCAACCAUAAAAUUGCCAUUGAAACUGGGAGACUUGAGUAUGUUUGAGGUAGGCGGAAUGCGUGGUGUAGCGGUGAAAUGCAUAGAUAUCACGCAGAACUCCGAUUGCGAAGGCAGCUUGCCAAGCCAUAACUGACACUGAAGCACGAAAGC